GCGCCCGUAGCUCAGUAGGAUAGAGCACAAGAUUCCUAAUCUUGGGGUCGGGGGUUCGAAUCCCUCCGGGCGCGCCA
Molecule: transfer RNA, 77 nt
Filed under: Magnetospira sp. QH-2
Lineage: Bacteria; Pseudomonadati; Pseudomonadota; Alphaproteobacteria; Rhodospirillales; Thalassospiraceae
Description: tRNA-Arg (CCT) (tRNA-Arg-CCT-1-1)
Rfam family: tRNA
About the family: Transfer RNA (tRNA) molecules are approximately 80 nucleotides in length.
Source: RNAcentral